GAUGAACGCUGGCGGUCUGCUUAACACAUGCAAGUCGAACGGGCACUUUCGGGUGCUAGUGGCGGCCGGGUGGGUAACGCGGUAGAAUCUGCCCUUGGAAGGGGGAUAACGGUUGGAAACGACCGCUAAUACCCCAUGUGCCGAGAGGUAAAAAGUAAUUCGCCAAGGGAGGAGCUGGCGUAGGAUUGGCUAGUUGGUGGGGUAACAGACCACCAAGGCGACGAGCCGUAGGUGGUCUGAGCGGAGGACCAGCCACACAGGGGGGGAGACACGGCGCAGACUACGGGGGGAAGCAGCAGUGGGGAAUGCUCCGCAAUGGGCGGAAGGAUGAAGGAGCAAGACCUCGGGAAUGAAGGCGGUCUGUGGAUUGUCCACCUUUUUUGACAGGGAAGAGGUAGUGACGGUACCUGUCGAAGAAGCCUCGGCUAACUCCGUG
This 436-nucleotide ribosomal RNA is filed under the name uncultured bacterium. RNAcentral describes it as "partial 16S ribosomal RNA". It matches the Rfam family "Bacterial small subunit ribosomal RNA", at positions 28 to 507 of the family's 1533-position model. The record is from RNAcentral.